This is an RNA transcript of Bubalus bubalis (water buffalo), 1295 nucleotides long. It is a transcript of the gene named translation initiation factor IF-2-like, with no coding region annotated. The transcript is spliced from 2 exons. The record is from RefSeq and is a predicted model, not a curated record. NCBI's taxonomy places the organism in Eukaryota, Metazoa, Chordata, Mammalia, Artiodactyla, Bovidae.
GACGGAAAACUAACGAGAGAGCGCCCCGCAGCCCUCUCCUUCCACCUCUUUGCGACUUCCAGGGAAACUACAAGACUUUCCCCGAGAGGAAGGGGAUGUGGGGAGGCUCCCUUCGGAAGCAAAAGGUCCCAGCGAACAGCGAGGGCACAAAAGGGUCCCCCGCGCGGCGCUCCGCACCCCCUCUCGGUUCCCCGGGCGGUUCCCGGGGCGAGGGGUGGGGUAGAAAGUGUGAAAAGCCCCGCCGGCGCCGGAAAGCGCGUCCAGGGGCCUCUGCAAGGGCGCCCGGCCCUUCGGGACCUCCGAGCUCCGAGGGGCCCCGCGGGCCUCGCGGCGGACAGCGAAAGCGAGUCCCGAGGUCCGAGAGCGCCGCGACCCGCCCUGACACCUGGGGGGCCCCGCCGGGAGGACUCGGGCCAAACCCGGAGAAGCGGCUGACCAUCCCGCCCUGGUCGUCGUCCACGUCCGCUCGGCCCACGGGGCCCAGCGCUGGACGUGCCCGCCCCGGGCAUCCAGCCUCUUCCGUCCGCCCCCGCCCCGGGAAGUCCCCGGCCCCGAGCCCAGCCGCCGCCCGGGGAGGUGUGGGCGAGCGCGCUGGAAGGAAACCGCGGCGGCCCGGCCCCUGGACGUGUCCGGGAAGGAACGCGGACUUUCUCUCAUUCCACAAGUAUUUAUUCAGCAGCUACUACGUCCUGGUCGGCCCGGACGUCGGGCUCCGGGCUGGACGGGGACACGGGCAGCAGGCCUGGCAGGGCCCGGACCCACAGCAUUUGCGCCCCCCCCGCCCCCCAGCCCUUCCGUCUCGGAGGGAGCCUCCCAGUCCCCCAACUCUUCUCCAGCCCGGUCUGCACCACCGUCCCCACCAUUCAGAGUCUUCCGGGUUACUGAGCAGCUGCUUUUAGAGUGGGGGGACGGGGCGGGCGGGAAUCAAGGAAGAAAGACCCCGGGGAUCAGUCCUUCACCACUAGGUCUUCCUCGUGUACACCCAGGAAGCCAGGCUUCACCGAAGACAAAAGGAAGACCCCGCUUGCUCCCUCGUUCAGCCUCACUCCAUUCCUCAGGAAGUGAUCCCACAGGGCAAGCUUUGCCCUAUUCCAGGUGAGAUGGGCCAUCCUAGUGUGUAAGCUUAAGGUUAUACUUCUGAAUGCUGGGAAAAAGAUAGGACUAAAACUAAUCUCUCAUGCUACUAAGUGAAGGAGAAGCUUUGUUUUCAGAUCAGAUCAGAUCAGUCACUCAGUCGUGUCCGACUCCUUGUGACCCCAUGAAUCGCAGCACGCCAGGCCUCCCUGUCCAUCACC